This 251-nucleotide ribosomal RNA is filed under the name uncultured bacterium. RNAcentral's name for it is "partial 16S ribosomal RNA". It matches the Rfam family "Bacterial small subunit ribosomal RNA", at positions 525 to 775 of the family's 1533-position model. The record is from RNAcentral.
ACGUAGGUCACAAGCGUUGUCCGGAAUUACUGGGUGUAAAGGGAGCGCAGGCGGGAGAACAAGUUGGAAGUGAAAUCCAUGGGCUCAACUCAUGAACUGCUUUCAAAACUGUUUUUCUUGAGUAGUGCAGAGGUAGGCGGAAUUCCCGGUGUAGCGGUGGAAUGCGUAGAUAUCGGGAGGAACACCAGUGGCGAAGGCGGCCUACUGGGCACCAACUGACGCUGAGGCUCGAAAGUGUGGGUAGCAAACAG